Molecule: ribosomal RNA, 497 nt
Filed under: uncultured bacterium
Lineage: Bacteria
Description: partial 16S ribosomal RNA
Rfam family: Bacterial small subunit ribosomal RNA
Source: RNAcentral
GAUGAACGCUGGCGGCGUGCCUAAUACAUGCAAGUCGAGCGAACAGACGAGGAGCUUGCUCCUCUGACGUUAGCGGCGGACGGGUGAGUAACACGUGGAUAACCUACCUAUAAGACUGGGAUAACUUCGGGAAACCGGAGCUAAUACCGGAUAAUAUAGUGAACCGCAUGGUUCAAUAGUGAAAUACGGUUUUGCUGUCACUUAUAGAUGGAUCCGCGCCGCAUUAGCUAGUUGGUAAGGUAACGGCUUACCAAGGCAACGAUGCGUAGCCGAACUGAGAGGGUGAUAGGCCACCCUGGAACUUAGACACGGUCCAGGCUCCUACGGGAGGCCGCAGUAGGGAAUGUUCCGCAAUGGGCGAAAGCCUGACGGAGCAACGCCGCGUGAGUGAUGAAGGUCUUCGGAUCGUAAAACUCUGUUACUAGGUAAGAACAAAUGUGUAAGUAAAUAUGCACGUAUUGACGGUACCUAAUCAGAAAGCCACGGCUAACUACGUG